RNAcentral lists this ribosomal RNA (497 nucleotides) under uncultured bacterium. RNAcentral's name for it is "partial 16S ribosomal RNA". It matches the Rfam family "Bacterial small subunit ribosomal RNA", at positions 28 to 507 of the family's 1533-position model. The record is from RNAcentral.
GAUGAACGCUGGCGGCGUGCCUAAUACAUGCAAGUCGAGCGAACAGACGAGAAGCUUGCUUCUCUGAUGUUAGCGGCGGACGGGUGAGUAACACGUGGAUAACCUACCUAUAAGACUGGGAUAACUUCGGGAAACCGGAGCUAAUACCGGAUAAUAUUUUGAACCGCAUGGUUCAAAAGUGAAAGACGGUCUUGCUGUCACUUAUAGAUGGAUCCGCGCUGCAUUAGCUAGUUGGUAAGGUAACGGCUUACCAAGGCAACGAUGCAUAGCCGACCUGAGAGGGUGAUCGGCCACACUGGAACUGAGACACGGUCCAGACUCCUACGGGAGGCAGCAGUAGGGAAUCUUCCGCAAUGGGCGAAAGCCUGACGGAGCAACGCCGCGUGAGUGAUGAAGGUCUUCGGAUCGUAAAACUCCGUUAUUAGGGAAGAACAUAUGUGUAAGUAACUGUGCACAUCUUGACGGUACCUAAUCAGAAAGCCACGGCUAACUACGUG